UCCAGACUCCCACGGGAGGCAGCAGUGGGGGAUAUUGCACAAUGGGGGGAACCCUGAUGCAGCGACGCCGCGUGGGUGAAGGAGCGUUUCGGCGCGUAAAGCCCUAUCGGCAGGGAAGAAGGAGGACGGUACCUGACUAAGAAGCCCCGGCUAACUACGUGCCAGCAGCCGCGGUAAUACGUAGGGGGCAAGCGUUAUCCGGAUUUACUGGGUGUAAAGGGGGCGCAGACGGCAGCGCAAGCCAGGAGUGAAAGCCCGGGGCCCAACCCCGGGACUGCUCUUGGAACUGCGCGGCUGGAGUGCAGGAGGGGCAGGCGGAAUUCCUGGUGUAGCGGUGAAAUGCGUAGAUAUCAGGAGGAACACCGGUGGCGAAGGCGGCCUGCUGGACUGCGACUGACGUUGAGGCCCGAAAGCGUGGGGAGCAAACAGGAUUAGAUACCCGCGUAG
RNAcentral lists this ribosomal RNA (447 nucleotides) under uncultured bacterium. RNAcentral describes it as "partial 16S ribosomal RNA". It matches the Rfam family "Bacterial small subunit ribosomal RNA", at positions 330 to 793 of the family's 1533-position model. The record is from RNAcentral.